RNAcentral lists this long non-coding RNA (866 nucleotides) under Brassica napus (rape). RNAcentral's name for it is "long non-coding RNA (BNAP_LNC012979)". Lineage: Eukaryota; Viridiplantae; Streptophyta; Magnoliopsida; Brassicales; Brassicaceae. The record is from RNAcentral.
GUUUUCGUUUGAUUUAUUCCUUUGGUGUGCUAGGCUUUUCUUUGGUCAUUUCUUUAAAAAUUGUAGAUUUUUGGAGAUUGGCUUUUUGCUAAAGGUUAUGUUCAGGCCCAGCAAGUAGGGUUGGGUCGUCUUCCUAUCUUCGACAUUCAUAGCUCUGCUCGCUGAACAAAUCACCGUAACGUCUCUUGAUAGCAUUAAAACAUAUUUUAAUCUGAUCUUUAACGUGAUUGCCCCAUUAUUUCAUCUCUCAAGCAUUCAAUCAACCUCAUCACUCCCAUAGUAACCGACGGAAGCUCGGACUAUAAAUCUCCAAUCUCCAGCGAUGAACAGCACAGAAUCAACCAAAUCAAGAAGAACAGACUCUGCUAAUUACCACGGCCAGCUCCUAUAAACUGCUAAUAAAAUACAUAUAUAUGCUAAUUCAUAUCUUGUAUUCUAUUUUAGCCAGGCUGUUGUCAUCCCACUUCUCCGUUUCUCAUAGGAGCGUAAUGUGAAGAAAGGAGGUGAUUCUCUGCUACUGGAAGAUAAGGUAAUUGAUAUAGUGAUCAUGUUCAGGUUUUACUACCCAUGAUUAAAUUCACACCCAUAUACAGUGUCUCCAAUAGGGCAUAAAGAUGCAUACAAGAUUUUGAGUGCGCAAGGAAAGCAAAAUCGGUUGAAACCUCAUAGCACGUACAAAAUUUUAGUGGAAAAUCUGAUGACGACUUGCUAGAGACGGUGGUUUAAGAAGCUUUUCUGACUCUUCUACCAAUAAUAAUGUAAUUAUUUCUCUUUUUUUUUGUAGAACUUAUUUUUGUAACACCAAUUAUUUUUCAUUUAUCUCAGUCUUUCUCUGUGUAUUUGAAUCGAUGAUGAAGUCUACAAGG